CCUACGGGCGGCAGCAGUGGGGAAUAUUGCACAAUGGGGGAAACCCUGAUGCAGCGACGCCGCGUGAGUGAAGAAGUAAUUCGGUACGUAAAGCUCUAUCAGCAGGGAAGAAACACGGACCUUACGGUCAGCAGACGGUAACUGAGUAAGAAGCCCGGGCUAACGACGUGCCAGCAGCCGCGGUAAUACGGAGGGGGCAAGCGUUCUCCGGAGUUACUGGGUGGAAAGGGAGCGUAGACGGUGCGCCAAGUCUGGAGUGAAAUGCCGCAGCUUAACUUCGGAACUGCUUUGGUAACUGGCGACCUUGAGUGCGGUAGGGUUAAGCGGAAUUCCUGGUGUAGCGGU
This 345-nucleotide ribosomal RNA is filed under the name uncultured bacterium. Its description in RNAcentral is "partial 16S ribosomal RNA". It matches the Rfam family "Bacterial small subunit ribosomal RNA", at positions 338 to 682 of the family's 1533-position model. The record is from RNAcentral.